RNAcentral lists this unclassified non-coding RNA (255 nucleotides) under uncultured fungus. Its description in RNAcentral is "partial contains small subunit ribosomal RNA, internal transcribed spacer 1, and 5.8S ribosomal RNA". The stretch from base 1 to 73 matches the Rfam family "Eukaryotic small subunit ribosomal RNA", at positions 1759 to 1831 of the family's 1831-position model. Lineage: Eukaryota; Fungi. The record is from RNAcentral.
GCAAACUUGGUCAUUUAGAGGAAGUAAAAGUCGUAACAAGGUUUCCGUAGGUGAACCUGCGGAAGGAUCAUUAACGAUACCCACCUUUUGUGCAACCUGAGAAAAAGCCUACUUUGGAAAGAUCGUGAUCUUUCCAAAGAGGUCAUCACAACCAACCAAUUUUUUCUUUUCUUUUACUAUCUAAAAAUAAAAUCGAAAUAAGAAACAACUUUCAACAACGGAUCUCUUGGCUCUCGCAUCGAUGAAGAACGCAGC